This 433-nucleotide small RNA is filed under the name Rattus norvegicus (Norway rat). RNAcentral describes it as "uncharacterized LOC102553765". Lineage: Eukaryota; Metazoa; Chordata; Mammalia; Rodentia; Muridae. The record is from RNAcentral.
AAAACGUCAAGCCGUAAAGCGAGACCCAACCGGAAGUCCGUCACAGCUCUUGGCUAAAAGUCCUACCUCGCCUCUGAGGUGCCAGACACAGUGAGUUCUGGAUGCAGUGUUCAAGCUGCCUCAAACUCUUGCCAUGAGGACUCCUCUACCCCGAGGUGAACUGCGCCCAGGAACUUCGAACCUUAAGUGGCUUUCAUCAGGACCUGAGCUCCGAUGGCUCUAGCAUCACUGUUUCCUGGACAAGGCCACGACUCUGAAGGGGCCGGGGGCACAUGCUGGUCUGUAGACAAACACUUCCUGGGAUAAAGGGGCUUGAACCCAGGAUCUUGGACUCGAGAGGCAAAUGCUCUACCGCUAAGCCGUGCUCCUGGCUAUGAAAUAUACUUCGAGUUUACAUUUCAAUUAUGUAUUUCACACAUAAAUCAGGUUUUUG